Molecule: unclassified non-coding RNA, 245 nt
Filed under: uncultured fungus
Lineage: Eukaryota; Fungi
Description: sequence contains ITS1
Source: RNAcentral
GUGUAUAGGUUUUGCGGCGACGCCGCGAUCACGUUCCGGGUCAUGCAUAGAGUUUGUGAAAAUUGUAGGCGAGUCCUCGGGACCCAGUGGCAAAACCGCCAGGUCCGGCUCCGGGCACGGGAGGCCCCGCCUCGAAAGGUGCACAGGUGUGUGUGGAUGAAGGUAGGAGGGUGCACAUGCCCGAUGGGCCAGCACUUCCCCCUUUGACUUCAGUAAUGAUCCUUCCGCAGGUUCACCUACGAAAA